UACGUAGGGGGCAAGCGUUGUCCGGAUUUAUUGGGCGUAAAGCGCGUGUAGGCGGCCAGGUAGGUCGGUUGUGAAAACUGGAGGCUCAACCUCCAGACGUCGACCGAAACCAUCUGGCUAGAGUCCGGAAGAGGAGAGUGGAAUUCCUGGUGUAGCGGUGAAAUGCGCAGAUAUCAGGAAGAACACCGAUGGCGAAGGCAGCCCCCUGGGCUAACACUGACGCUCAGGCACGAAAGCGUGGGGAGCAAACAGG
RNAcentral lists this ribosomal RNA (253 nucleotides) under uncultured bacterium. RNAcentral's name for it is "partial 16S ribosomal RNA". It matches the Rfam family "Bacterial small subunit ribosomal RNA", at positions 524 to 776 of the family's 1533-position model. The record is from RNAcentral.